RNAcentral lists this ribosomal RNA (460 nucleotides) under uncultured bacterium. RNAcentral describes it as "partial 16S ribosomal RNA". It matches the Rfam family "Bacterial small subunit ribosomal RNA", at positions 338 to 795 of the family's 1533-position model. The record is from RNAcentral.
CCUACGGGAGACUGCAGUGAGGAAUAUUGGUCAAUGGACGCAAGUCUGACCCAGCCAUGCCGCGUGCAUGAAGACGGCUCUAUGAGUUGUAAACUGCUUUUGUACGAGGGUAAACGCAGAUACGCGUAUCUGUCUGACAGUCUCGUACGAAUAAGGAUCGGCUAACUCCGUGCCAGCAGCCGCGGUAAUACGGAGGAGUCAAGCGUUAUCCGGAUUUAUUGGGUUGAAAGGGUGCGUAGGCGGUCGGAUAAGUUAGAGGUGAAAUCCCGAGGCUCAACUUCGGAAUUGCCUCUGAUACUGUUCGGCUAGAGAGUAGGUGCGGUAGGCGGAAUGUAUGGUGUAGCGGUGAAAGGCUUAGAGAUCAUACAGAACACCGAUUGCGAAGGCAGCUUACCAAGCUACUUCUGACGUUGAGGCACGAAAGCGUGGGGAGCAAACAGGAUUAGAUACCCUUGUAGUC